CAGGGGGCAGCACCCCAGAGAAAGGGGCACCGGGUCCAGGGAGGGACACGGGGGCCAGACGAACAGGUGGAUCACUGGCCUGCAGAGGGCGCUCCGGCGCUGGACGGAGCAAAUUCCAUGAGUCACCAGCAGGAGGCGCCGCAGGGCCUCUGAAGCAUCUGUCACUGCAGCAGCUGAACACCAUAAUAAAGGUGCCUGAUACUAUGGUGAUGGGAGUCAUCUGUGUGUGGAGAUAGAUAUCCAGAUGUCUACUUUCAAUAUUUUUUCUAUGUAAAGACUCCAUAAAAGUUAUGUUGGCAACUUUUAACAAAGAAGGAUGUGUCUUUUGCACUGUUCACCUUCUGAUGCACAAGCCCCACGUUUCUGCAGAACCAUUCUAUAUGAAGAGCUAGCAGGAUCCCGCAUCACUGGAGAGCUCAGCUGGAUGUUCCUCUGACAGAGUGGUCUAACCCAGUUGUUUUGCCCAAUGUGUCACAACAAGCUUCUUCCCAACUCAAUCUGUGUGGUCGGAAUCCUGGUACCCACAUGACAGGAGUCAGAAGACACCCAAAUGAGGCAGUGUGGAGAUGGAAGGCUCUGUAGAAAGUACCCAGGACUGCAAGAUAUGCAGACUCACUGUUUCUAUUCAGAGGCACUUCCUCUAUAGUAGUGAUGCCACGGUAGUGCAUACCCUCCUUGCCUUCCACAUGGGUGUGUCUUGACUUAGCUCAGCAGAGAUUGCUCAACCACUCCAAAUUAUGGGCACCUGGUCAGGUUGGUAGAUGGAACAAAGCUCAGUGAACGGAGGGAAUAACAUAAGAAAGUUUCUUUCCACAAAGAUAUUUUUAUUUUGUUAGUAACCAAGCCCAUGAACAGAAUCCAUAGAUUAUAGUUUGUAGAGACUCAGAUUCUGAGUGGACAGUGAAUGACAUUCCUCUCAGUUUUUAACUACAUGGAUCUUGAUAUUCUUCUGAACAGAAAAUCAUUUAAGAUGGCCAGGUAGCUCUAAGAUACACUGUCCUUUUAUAUUGGUGACAAAAUAUCAAGCUCUCAAAUUGUCAUGGUUUAUAUGGGUCACUAAAUACAUGAAUAUACUAUUCUUUAAGUCCAGUUAGUAACUUCAAACCAAGUCCUGCUCCCAUUGAAAUCAACAGCAAAACUCCCACUGAGUUCAGGAGGAAAUAUAACGGGCCACUGCAGCAUAUUUCCACUCUGGCAACUGAUUAAAAAUGGCAGGUGCCAUAUUCAUUGUUACUCAGCAACUCCAGAACAAAUAUGCUCAGUUUAUAAAUAAAUGUCAUUCCCUAACUGCCAAGCCAAGGAAACUCAGCUAAGACA
Long non-coding RNA from Mauremys reevesii (Reeves's turtle), 1317 nucleotides. RefSeq lists it as uncharacterized. The record is from RefSeq and is a predicted model, not a curated record. Lineage: Eukaryota; Metazoa; Chordata; Testudines; Geoemydidae. The transcript is spliced from 3 exons.